CAGUCGCCGGGUAAUACGGAGGAUCCAAGCGUUAUCCGGAAUCAUUGGGUUUAAAGGGUCCGUAGGCGGUCUUGUAAGUCAGUGGUGAAAGCCCAUCGCUCAACGGUGGAACGGCCAUUGAUACUGCAGGACUUGAAUUAUUGGGAAGUAACUAGAAUAUGUAGUGUAGCGGUGAAAUGCUUAGAGAUUACAUGGAAUACCAAUUGCGAAGGCAGGUUACUACCAAUUGAUUGACGCUGAUGGACGAAAGCGUGGGUAGCGAACAGGAUUAGAUACCCCUGUAGUCCCUGUCUCUUAUACC
Molecule: ribosomal RNA, 301 nt
Filed under: uncultured bacterium
Lineage: Bacteria
Description: partial 16S ribosomal RNA
Rfam family: Bacterial small subunit ribosomal RNA
Source: RNAcentral